This 423-nucleotide ribosomal RNA is filed under the name uncultured bacterium. RNAcentral describes it as "partial 16S ribosomal RNA". It matches the Rfam family "Bacterial small subunit ribosomal RNA", at positions 361 to 776 of the family's 1533-position model. The record is from RNAcentral.
AUUUUGGACAAUGGGGGAAACCCUGAUCCAGCCAUCCCGCGUGUAUGAUGAAGGCCUUCGUGUUGUAAAGUACUUUUGGCAGAGAAGAAAAGAUAUCUCCUAAUACGAGAUACUGCUGUCUGUAUCUGCAGAAUAAGCACCGGCUAACUACGCUCCAGCCGCCUCGGUAAUAAGUAGGGUGCAAGCGUUAAUCGGAAUUACUGGGCGUAAAGCAUGUGUAGGCGGUUCGGAAAGAAAGAUGGGAAAUCACAGGGCUCAACCUUGGAACUGAAUUUUUAACUGACGAGCUAGAGUAUGUCAGAGGGGAGUAGAAUUCCACGUGUAGCAGUGAAAUGCGUAGAUAUGUGGAGGAAUACCGAUGGCGAAGGCAGCCCCCUGGGAUAAUACUGACGCUCAGACACGAAAGCGUGGGGAGCAAACAGG